GUGCUCGCUUCAGCAGCACAUACACUAAAAUUGGAAUGAUACAGAGAAGAUUAACAUGGCCCAUGUGUAAGAAUUACAUGGAAAUCCGUGAAGCAUUCCGUAUUUUU
Molecule: small nuclear RNA, 107 nt
Filed under: Microcebus murinus (gray mouse lemur)
Lineage: Eukaryota; Metazoa; Chordata; Mammalia; Primates; Cheirogaleidae
Source: RNAcentral